UUCCGUAGGUGAACCAGCGGAGGGAUCAUUACCGAGUUUACAACUCCCAAACCCAAUGUGAACGUUACCAAACUGUUGCCUCGGCGGGAUCUCUGCCCCGGGUGCGUCGCAGCCCCGGACCAAGGCGCCCGCCGGAGGACCAACCAAAACUCUUAUUGUAUACCCCCUCGCGGGUUUUUUUUAUAAUCUGAGCCUUCUCGGCGCCUCUCGUAGGCGUUUCGAAAAUGAAUCAAAACUUUCAACAACGGAUCUCUUGGUUCUGGCAUCGAUGAAGAACGCAGCGAAAUGCGAUAAGUAAUGUGAAUUGCAGAAUUCAGUGAAUCAUCGAAUCUUUGAACGCACAUUGCGCCCGCCAGUAUUCUGGCGGGCAUGCCUGUCCGAGCGUCAUUUCAACCCUCGAACCCCUCCGGGGGGUCGGCGUUGGGGAUCGGCCCUCCCUUAGCGGGUGGCCGUCUCCGAAAUACAGUGGCGGUCUCGCCGCAGCCUCUCCUGCGCAGUAGUUUGCACACUCGCAUCGGGAGCGCGGCGCGUCCACAGCCGUUAAACACCCAACUUCUGAAAUGUUGACCUCGGAUCAGGUAGGAAUACCCGCUGAACUUAAGCAUAUCAAUAAGCGGAGGAAAAGAAACCA
RNAcentral lists this ribosomal RNA (631 nucleotides) under Trichoderma sp. BAB-3580. RNAcentral describes it as "eukaryotic LSU rRNA". The stretch from base 234 to 387 matches the Rfam family "5.8S ribosomal RNA". Lineage: Eukaryota; Fungi; Ascomycota; Sordariomycetes; Hypocreales; Hypocreaceae. The record is from RNAcentral.